Molecule: ribosomal RNA, 497 nt
Filed under: uncultured bacterium
Lineage: Bacteria
Description: partial 16S ribosomal RNA
Rfam family: Bacterial small subunit ribosomal RNA
Source: RNAcentral
GAUGAACGCUGGCGGCGUGCCUAAUACAUGCAAGUCGAGCGAACAGACGAGGAGUAUGCUCCUCUGACGUUAGCGGCGGACGGGUGAGUAACAUGUGGAUAACCUACCUCUAAGACUGGGAUAACUUUGGGAAAUCGGAGCUAAUACCGGAUAAUAUAUUGAACCGCAAUGGUCCAUCGUGGAAGAAGGUUUUGCUGUCACUUAUAGCUGGACCAGCGGCCCAUUCAUUAGUUGGUAAGGUAAAGGAUUACCAAGGCAACGACGCGUACACGACCUGAGCGGGAGGUUCGCUAGACUGGAACAGAGACACGGCCGAGACUCCGACGGGAGGAAGCGGCAGGGAAUCUUCCGGAAUGGACGAAAGGGUAACGGAGGAACGUCGCGUGAGUGAUGAAGGUGUUCGGAUCGGUAAGCUCUGUUAUUAGGGAAGUACAAAUGUGUAAGUAACUAUGCACAUCUUGACGGUACCUAAUCAGAAAGCCACGGCUAACUACGUG